AAUAAAUACGAGUGAAAUUUAUUAUUUGGAGUUAAAAUGUACAUUCAUUAAUUUAUAAUUAAAUUUAUUAGGUUAAAUUUUAAAUUUAAAAAAUUAUUAAAAAUGAGAUUAUUUGAAGCUCAGAAAUUUUAUAAAUAGACUAGGAUUAGAUACCCUAUUAUAAAAAAUGUAAUUUUUAAAAAUAGAGUAGUAGUAGCUAUGUUCUUAAAACUUAAUAAAUUUGGCGGUAUUUUAAUCUAUUCAGAGGAACUUGUUUUAUAAUUGAUAAUCCUCAUUAAAUCUUACUUAACUUAUUUAAUUUGUAUACCAUCGUCAUAAGAAUCUCUUAAAAAAGUAAUAAUUUUCUCGAUAAUUUAUUAAUUAGUAUGUCAGAUCAAGGUGCAGUUUAUAGUUAAGGAAAAAUGAGUUACAAUAAAAUUAUUUAUACGGAUUUUUACUUGAAAUAGUGAAAUAAAGGUGGAUUUGAUAGUAAAAUAAAUUACAGAGUUUAUUUGAUUUUAGUUCUAAAAUAUGCACAUAUCGCCCGUCGCUCUCGUUAUUUAAAAUGAG
Molecule: ribosomal RNA, 549 nt
Filed under: Cordyla fissa
Lineage: Eukaryota; Metazoa; Arthropoda; Insecta; Diptera; Mycetophilidae
Description: partial 12S ribosomal RNA
Source: RNAcentral